GCUUGCUUUCUUUGCUGGCGACCGGCGCACGGGUGAGUAACACGUAUCCAACCUACCCUUUACUCGGGGAUAGCCUUUCGAAAGAAAGAUUAAUACCCGAUAGCAUAAUGAUUCCGCAUGGUUUCAUUAUUAAAGGAUUCCGGUAAAGGAUGGGGAUGCGUUCCAUUAGGUUGUUGGUGGGGUAACGGCCACCAAGCCUUCGAUGGAUAGGGGUUCUGAGAGGAAGGUCCCCCACAUUGGAACUGAGACACGGUCCAAACUCCUACGGGAGGCAGCAUG
Molecule: ribosomal RNA, 279 nt
Filed under: uncultured bacterium
Lineage: Bacteria
Description: partial 16S ribosomal RNA
Rfam family: Bacterial small subunit ribosomal RNA
Source: RNAcentral